UUGUCAGUUCACUGUGAUGCCAGAAAUGAUUCAGCUCAAUGUAAUGGGACUUUGGGAGAAACUGUGUUUCUACGGCUGACUGACAACGCUUCAGGAAUUAGAAUUGAGUUGAGAAAGGAAAAUGUAAUAUUACUACAAUGGAGGAUAAAUAGAACAGUUGCAAAUAAAAUAAAAGACAGAUCCGAUUUUAUACCCAAUAAUGGAACAUUCAGGAUAAACGACCUGAAACACAGCGACAGUGGUGAAUAUAACUUUACAGUCUUUGAUUCAGUUGGGAGGUUUACAGAAAAUCGGAUUCUUCAUUUGGUAAUUGAGGAGCCUGUUCAAGUCUCAACAGAUACUUCUCUGCUCACAUGUGGUUUGAUGUUUGCUGCAGCCGUUCUUAUAUGUGGUGGGAUUGGCCUCUAUUUCAAAUGGAAGGAGACAAAAUAUAAGAAAAUGUUCAUCACACCACAAAGAAACGAGAAUGCAGAGGAMUUUCAAGUUAUUGAACAAAGAAAUKUKCCCGAUAUUUAACUGCUACCCUUUGUAGGUGUCUUCUGUAAUGUGUGAAGAUUUCAGAAGCUCAGUGUARAUGUCAGAGAAAAGGUAUGGAUAAAAAUAACUGCUCUAUUUUAACAUCUUUAAUGUAUUUGCCCUGACAUUUAAUAUAAAAUUGUCCUGUUGACUUAAAUGUAAAUUUUUCAUGUUUGUUCACAUUUUGAGUUUGCUAAGCUAAGCUGUAAUAAUGUACAAUUUAUUGAAAGAUGUUUACCUGAUAAAAAUAAAUUGAUAGUUCAAAUGUAUUUGAUAGUUUACAAAUA
Long non-coding RNA from Poecilia reticulata (guppy), 803 nucleotides. RefSeq lists it as uncharacterized. Lineage: Eukaryota; Metazoa; Chordata; Actinopteri; Cyprinodontiformes; Poeciliidae. The record is from RefSeq and is a predicted model, not a curated record.